UGGGGAAUUUUGGACAAUGGGCGAAAGCCUGAUCCAGCCAUGCCGCGUGAGUGAAGAAGGCCUUCGGGUUGUAAAGCUCUUUUAGUCGGAAAGAAAGAGUUGCAAUGAAUAAUUGUGAUUUAUGACGGUACCGACAGAAAAAGCACCGGCUAACUACGUGCCAGCAGCCGCGGUAAUACGUAGGGUGCGAGCGUUAAUCGGAAUUACUGGGCGUAAAGGGUGCGCAGGCGGUCUUGCAAGUCAGAUGUGAAAGCCCCGGGCUUAACCUGGGAAUUGCGUUUGAAACUACAAGGCUAGAGUGCAGCAGAGGGGAGUGGAAUUCCAUGUGUAGCAGUGAAAUGCGUAGAGAGGUGGAAGAACACCGAUGGCGAAGGCAGCUCCCUGGGUUGACACUGACGCUCAUGCACGAACGCGUGGGGAGCAAACA
This 427-nucleotide ribosomal RNA is filed under the name uncultured beta proteobacterium. RNAcentral's name for it is "bacterial SSU rRNA". It matches the Rfam family "Bacterial small subunit ribosomal RNA", at positions 355 to 774 of the family's 1533-position model. Lineage: Bacteria; Pseudomonadati; Pseudomonadota; Betaproteobacteria. The record is from RNAcentral.